RNAcentral lists this ribosomal RNA (443 nucleotides) under uncultured bacterium. RNAcentral describes it as "partial 16S ribosomal RNA". It matches the Rfam family "Bacterial small subunit ribosomal RNA", at positions 338 to 795 of the family's 1533-position model. The record is from RNAcentral.
CCUACGGGAGGCAGCAGUGGGGAAUAUUGCACAAUGGGGGAAACCCUGAUGCAGCAACGCCGCGUGAAGGAAGACGGUUUUCGGAUUGUAAACUUCUAUCAAUAGGGAAGAAAGAAAUGACGGUACCUAAAUAAGAAGCCCCGGCUAACUACGUGCCAGCAGCCGCGGUAAUACGUAGGGGGCAAGCGUGAUCCGGAAUUACUGGGUGUACAGGGAGAGUAGGCGGCAAGGUAAGCGAUAUGUGAAAGCCUUAAGCUUAACUUAAGGAUGGCAUAACGAACUAUCUAGCUAGAGUACAGGAGAGGAAAGCGGAAUUCCUGGUGUAGCGGUGAAAUGCGUAGAGAUUAGGAAGAACACCAGUGGCGAAGGCGGCUUUCUGGACUGAAACUGACGCUGAGGCACGAAGGCGUGGGGAGCAAACAGGAUUAGAUACCCGAGUAGUC